RNAcentral lists this ribosomal RNA (465 nucleotides) under uncultured bacterium. RNAcentral describes it as "partial 16S ribosomal RNA". It matches the Rfam family "Bacterial small subunit ribosomal RNA", at positions 28 to 507 of the family's 1533-position model. The record is from RNAcentral.
GACGAACGCUGGCGGCGUGCUUAACACAUGCCAGUCGAACGGAAAGGCCCUGCUUGCAGGGUACUCGAGUGGCGAACGGGUGAGUAACACGUGGGUGAUCUGCCCUGCACUUCGGGAUAAGCCUGGGAAACUGGGUCUAAUACCGGAUAGGAGCCAUUUUUAGUGUGAUGGUUGGAAAGUUUUUUCGGUGUAGGAUGAGCUCGCGGCCUAUCAGCUUGUUGGUGGGGUAAUGGCCUACCAAGGCGGCGACGGGUAGCCGGCCUGAGAGGGUGGACGGCCACAUUGGGACUGAGAUACGGCCCAGAUUCCUACGGGAGGCAGCAGUGGGGAAUAUUGCACAAUGGGCGCAAGCCUGAUGCAGCGACGCCGCGUGGGGGAUGACGGCCUUCGGGUUGUAAACUCCUUUCGCUAGGGACGAAGCUUUUUGUGACGGUACCUAGAUAAGAAGCACCGGCUAACUACGUG